UCGUGGUGGUUGUGGUGCUAGUAGCUGU
Molecule: non-coding RNA, 28 nt
Filed under: Homo sapiens (human)
Lineage: Eukaryota; Metazoa; Chordata; Mammalia; Primates; Hominidae
Source: RNAcentral